AUCUUAUCAAAAUUUAACCAGAAAUAUCACUGUGCUUGUAUUCAGGAUAUUUUUCUCCGCGGAGCACCCACCCCCACCACUGGCUAAGCCUGUGUUAAUUGCACACCUCAGACAAAGAUGUUGCGAAUGGUAAUCCCAUCCACACAUGGCUAUCAGGGCUGCCCUCUAGCUCUGUAGAAAAUCCCAUCCACCCUAUCUCGAUGCAGAACAGGUAGUUACUAGAGCCUGGGCCUGAGGGAGAGGGAUGUGAAGCUGCUUUCAGAGCAGGCUUGGCAGGCCUGACCAGCAAGCUCAAUGGCUGGCUGCCCAUCCGAUAGCGGUGACGGCGAAUUCAGGGAAGAGCAUUUGCAGUCCCCAGAUGCCAGAGAUGGAGAAGAGGAGGAGGUAGGAAGAGAAUGUGUCUCUUAGUCUUUGCACCAUCUAAUCUGUCUUACCUGGAAGAACACCUGGAACCUGGAACAAAAGGAACAAAAGGAACCUGGAAGGAACACCUUUCUCAUUAUCUGGAAGGAGUGUGGCUUGUAAAAUAUGAGAAGUCCCGUCUGCCAAGUCAGGAGCUGCGAGGGAGGCUGGGAGAAAUGCUGUCCAGCAGUGGCUGGAUUCUGACAUCCCAUUCCUAUAGAAGGCAGCUGUAAAGUAUGUUACUGGUAAGUGCUAA
RNAcentral lists this long non-coding RNA (658 nucleotides) under Meriones unguiculatus (Mongolian gerbil). RNAcentral describes it as "lncRNA (ENSMUGG00000024301.1)". The record is from RNAcentral. Lineage: Eukaryota; Metazoa; Chordata; Mammalia; Rodentia; Muridae.